GAUGAACGCUGGCGGCGUGCUUAACACAUGCAAGUCGAACGAAGCACUUUAUUUGAUUUCCUUCGGGACUGAUUAUUUUGUGACUGAGUGGCGGACGGGUGAGUAACGCGUGGGUAACCUGCCUUGUACAGGGGGAUAACAGUUGGAAACGGCUGCUAAUACCGCAUAAGCGCACAGCAUCGCAUGAUGCAGUGUGAAAAACUCCGGUGGUAUAAGAUGGACCCGCGUUGGAUUAGCGAGUUGGUGAGGUAACGGCCCACCAAGGCGACGAGCCAUAGCCGACCUGAGAGGGUGACCGGCCACAUUGGGACUGAGACACGGCCCAAACUCCUACGGGAGGCAGCAGUGGGGAAUCUUGCACAAUGGGCGAAAGCCUGAUGCAGCGACGCCGCGUGAGCGAAGAAGUAUUUCGGUAUGUAAAGCUCUAUCAGCAGGGAAGAUAAUGACGGUACCUGACUAAGAAGCACCGGCUAACUACGUG
Molecule: ribosomal RNA, 481 nt
Filed under: uncultured bacterium
Lineage: Bacteria
Description: partial 16S ribosomal RNA
Rfam family: Bacterial small subunit ribosomal RNA
Source: RNAcentral